GGUUAUUGUCACUUUGAGCCAUUUUUAACACGCCACCGCCAUUUUGUAAAAAAAUCGAUUCGAACGGAAAAAUCUUCUCCACCCCAGAACUAUUUGAAGGUGACUAUCGUAAGCCACAACAGAACCAGUUCUUCCCAAAAACUGAUAACUCUUCAACCAAUAUGUCUGACGGAGGCUAUGGAACAAAACGCGAAUUGGAGGAGGACUAUGGAGAUGAGGGGGGCAACAUGGGCAGGAAGAGGCAACGUGGGGAGGGGUACCGCGUAGACCUGCGCGUGCUGCUGCAGAGCAAGAAUGCAGGUGCUAUUAUUGGGAAGGCAGGCAGCAAUAUAAAACGCCUGCGUGCAGAUUACAAAGCGAGCGUAACAGUACCCGAUUCCGAUGGUCCAGAACGGAUUCUGACGAUCAGCGCUGAGCUGGGUACAGCGCUGGAUUGCUUGGAGGACGUGAUCCCCACACUGGAGGAGGUAACGGAUUACCAGAACAUGCAGGGGAAUGACUUUCAAUGUGAGAUUCGCAUGUUGGUCCAUCAGAGCCAGGCUGGCUGUGUGAUCGGACGCGCAGGCUUCAAGAUCAAGGAGCUCAGGGAGCAAACAGGUACGAACAUCAAGGUGUACUCCCAGUGCUGUCCUGGCUCCACUGAGCGUGUCGUAGCCAUAGGCGGCAAACCAAAGUCUGUCGUCAACUGCAUUGACACCAUCUAUGAACUGCUAGAGACAGCACCACCAAAAGGCCCAAACCAGUUUUACGACCCCAACAACUUUGAUGAGAUGUUCUGCAACGAGUAUGGGGGCUACUCAAUGGCUGAUGGUCUCCGUGGAGCAAAGGGCGGCCGUGGUGGUGGUGGUGGUGGUAGAGGGGGGCCACGUGGCGGUGGAGGCUUUGGUGGUGGUGGACGUGGCGGGGGAUUUGACGGCCCUAGAGGUGGCGGUGGAAUGGGAGGUCGGGGCGGGCGCGGAGGUGCUCCCCGUGGAGGUAUGGGAGACAUGGGCGGGCGAGGUGGAGGUCGUGGUGGGAUGGGCGGCGGAGGGUUUGGUGGGCGAGGCGGAGGCAACCUUGGCGGUGGUGCGAUGGGCGGUGGUGGUGUGAUGGGAGGCGGUGGGGCGAUGGGAGGAGGUGGGGGAAACUUCGGCGGCGGCCAGAUGGCCAGCCUUGGUGGCGGCAUGGGAGGUGGGAUGGGAGGAGGCAUGGGAGGUAACAUGGGAGGAAACCUAGGCGGAGGAAUGGGAGGGCCGCCUGGCAGAGGUGGGAUGGGUGGCAACUUCGGAGGUCGAGGAGGCGGAAUGGGAGGCGUCCGUGGAGGAAUGGGCGGAAACAUGGGUAGAGGUGGUGGUAACAUGGGUAACCAAGGCGGCUUCGGUGGUGGUAACCAGGGGGGCUUCGGAGAGGGGGGCUUCGGAGGUGACAUGGGGGGAGGCGGCUUCCAGGAUGACAACAUGGUAAGGAAGGGAGGCAUGGGUAACCAGGGCAUGAUGUUUGGAGGCAAUGACCCCGUAACCAGCACCCAGGUCACCAUCCCUAAGGAUAUGGCGGGCGCCAUUAUUGGCAAGGGUGGUUCCCGUAUCAUGGAGAUCCGUCGUCAGUCUGACGCCCAGAUUGUGAUAGACGAGGCUCUGCCGGGCUCCAAUGACCGCAUCAUCACCAUCACGGGCACAGAGGAACAGAUACAGAAUGCCCAGUACCUGCUGCAGAUGAGCGCAAGGGAACUUCAGGCUGGGGCAAGGGCCAAAAACCAUUAGAGAAACAGUUCAAAGAAAGUGCUAGUUAAAAUCCAAUAUUAAAGCGUGAAGAAAUUUGCUCCAAACAAACUUCAAAACUUGCAAGUUUAGGCAGGGUGGUUGGAUGAUGACAGAGUGGCAAGAAGGGCAGCUGUAUCCGUUUUCCUAUAGUUCUCAUUGGAGCAACUUCAAUUUGCAUCGACCAUAGGACCCAAAACUUUGAUUGUAUAUAUAGUCAUUUUAUCACCUGUCAAAAGUGUUUCAUUGUUCUGAUGUGCUUCAUUUUUAUUCACUAUUUCAUAACACAAAUCAUUGUUUUAUAAGAUUGAUUUUGAAUAUAUUUUAAUGUCGAAGAUUUGUAAUUCUUAGAACAAUCUGUUUUGUUUUGCGUCCGUGAAUUUCUGCAGAAGUAUGGAUUUGUUGUAUGUUUGUAAUUAACCUGAUGUUUAGAGUUGAUCCUUGUUUUUUAUUAAUAGAUAUGUUGACACUAUAUAAGGUAACAAUAUCAGGUUUACAACUUGCCACUUGGCACUCAACUUGGUAACGAUAAGGUUCAACCUCAGGCAUUCCAUAUUUUUUCCAACACCACAAGGCCAAGUGAAGACUGUGUCGUUAAAUCCGAGCGUGAACUAUUUGAGACCAGUGGUCAUAUGUUUGCACAAGUUUUUUUCAUGGUGUUACCCAGGUAUAUUAUUUAUACCAUAUUUGAUUGAACGCUUCAACCUACCUAUCAAAGGUGUUUGUUUCUGUUACAUAACAUUACUCUAGAAUCAAGUUAAAUAUUACUAAGCCAAUCUAUUUUUAGUGAAACGGUAGAAUUUAAUCAUGGGUGUUACUUAUUGUUGAAAAAAUAACUUUGUACAGAUCAUGUCAUUAUGUCUACAAUAAAAGUAGCUCAUCA
This is an RNA transcript of Dreissena polymorpha, 2619 nucleotides long. It is a transcript of the gene named heterogeneous nuclear ribonucleoprotein K-like, with no coding region annotated. The record is from RefSeq and is a predicted model, not a curated record. NCBI's taxonomy places the organism in Eukaryota, Metazoa, Mollusca, Bivalvia, Myida, Dreissenidae. The transcript has 18 exons.